This 21-nucleotide microRNA is filed under the name Medicago truncatula (barrel medic). RNAcentral's name for it is "mtr-miR2111d-3p". The record is from miRBase by way of RNAcentral. Lineage: Eukaryota; Viridiplantae; Streptophyta; Magnoliopsida; Fabales; Fabaceae.
AUCCUUAGAAUGCAGAUUAUC